AACGAACGCUGGCGGCAUGCCUAACACAUGCAAGUCGAACGAGACCUUCGGGUCUAGUGGCGCACGGGUGCGUAACGCGUGGGAACCUGCCCUUAGGUUCGGAAUAACUCCCCGAAAGGGGUGCUAAUACCGGAUAAUGUCUUCGGACCAAAGAUUUAUCGCCUUUGGAUGGGCCCGCGUUGGAUUAGCUAGUUGGUAGGGUAAAAGCCUACCAAGGCGACGAUCCAUAGCUGGUCUGAGAGGAUGAUCAGCCACACUGGGACUGAGACACGGCCCAGACUCCUACGGGAGGCAGCAGGGGGGAAUAUUGGACAAUGGGCGAAAGCCUGAUCCAGAAAUGCCGGGGGAGUGAUGAAGGCCUUAGGGUUGUAAAGCUUUUUUCCCCGGGAUGAUAAUGACAGUACCGGGAGAAUAAGCCCCGGCAAACUCCGU
Molecule: ribosomal RNA, 432 nt
Filed under: uncultured bacterium
Lineage: Bacteria
Description: partial 16S ribosomal RNA
Rfam family: Bacterial small subunit ribosomal RNA
Source: RNAcentral